CGGGUGGUAAUGCCGGAUGUUCCACAUGAUCGCAUGUGAUUGUGGGAAAGAUUCUAUCGGCGUGGGAUGGGGUCGCGUCCUAUCAGCUUGUUGGUGAGGUAACGGCUCACCAAGGCUUCGACGGGUAGCCGGCCUGAGAGGGCGACCGGCCACAUUGGGACUGAGAUACGGCCCAGACUCCUACGGGAGGCAGCAGUGGGGAAUAUUGCACAAUGGGCGCAAGCCUGAUGCAGCGACGCCGCGUGAGGGAUGGAGGCCUUCGGGUUGUAAACCUCUUUUGUUUGGGAGCAAGCCUUCGGGUGAGUGUACCUUUCGAAUAAGCGCCGGCUAACUACGUGCCAGCAGCCGCGGUAAUACGUAGGGCGCAAGCGUUAUCCGGAUUUAUUGGGCGUAAAGGGCUCGUAGGCGGCUCGUCGCGUCCGGUGUGAAAGUCCAUCGCUUAACGGUGGAUCUGCGCCGGGUACGGGCGGGCUGGAGUGCGGUAGGGGAGACUGGAAUUCCCGGUGUAACGGUGGAAUGUG
RNAcentral lists this ribosomal RNA (521 nucleotides) under Bifidobacterium bifidum. RNAcentral describes it as "bacterial SSU rRNA". It matches the Rfam family "Bacterial small subunit ribosomal RNA", at positions 157 to 690 of the family's 1533-position model. The record is from RNAcentral. Lineage: Bacteria; Bacillati; Actinomycetota; Actinomycetes; Bifidobacteriales; Bifidobacteriaceae.